Molecule: long non-coding RNA, 545 nt
Filed under: Homo sapiens (human)
Lineage: Eukaryota; Metazoa; Chordata; Mammalia; Primates; Hominidae
Description: HSALNT0341102
Source: RNAcentral
CCCCAGCAGCCGGCUCGACACCGCCCUUUCCCUCUGAAGGGCCACUCGUUUUAGCCACGUCCUCUUAUUGUCCCUCCCCUGGCCACACCCCUUCAGACAUGCGUAGUGCUCCCCUUGGUCCAGCGCGGGAAGCUCCCUCGUGAGUGUCCGAAACUAUUAGCUCACUCACUGCCUCAUGUGAAGAUUAACUCUUAAGUACUCCACAACUACACGCUUUUGAAACUGGCGUUGGCAUAGCGUUAGUUCUGUGCAGGGCGGACGCAGCAGGACAGAAUCUCCCUGGGCAUCUUUUCGGAGCAUCAAUUUUACUGCAAAAUUUUGAAAAAACAAAUUUAAUUGAUUUCCAAGGUUUGUCAAGGAGGACAGAAACUCAGAGCACCCUGCACUUGGGGAUCGGCACUAGGAGCUGCUCUCUGGAUGGGGAGAUGGGAGCUAGCAGCUCACAAUGGGGUCACAAGAAUAUUGGUUCUUCUUUUAUCUGAAGUGAGGAGCACCAGAGGACUGAUCACGGCAUAGACAUUGACUACAAGACUCUGAACUUGCUG